CCGCGGCCGGGAGGGCGGGCAUGGUUUGCAACUGGACUCUGACCCAGACCAGGAAGGCAGCCUGCAUCAUGUUGUUACUAACUGUUCUUCAUUUACCCAUUGAUGCCUCCCCGAAAGAGACGCAGACAGUGCCAGAAAGCCCAGCUGCUAUUCCACCAACAGCCACUGGAGGGCCCCAAACCCCAUUAUGAAUCUCACCAGCAGCCCAUUACCCACACUGUACAGGUGCCCAGCAAACCCAUUGAUCAGAGCACCAUCACUUCCUGGGUGUUACCUCAGUUUGAUACAGCAGCAGAAAGCCGGUUUCCAACACACCGGAAACAUCACCGAGACCAAGCAAGACACCCAACUCGGAGAUCUACCUGCAAGUUUCCACGUCUAACCUUUGAGAGUCCAGAGUCUUCGAGUUCAGAGACAUUGUUGCUAUCCAACAGAGAGCAGCUCCAGAACUCAGAAAAGGAUGCUCCCAGAAGGCCUUUAGUGCCAUUGUUCAGUCCCCAGAGCUGUGGGGAGCUGUCAGUGCACGUACCUCAAAGCUUACCUCAUGUGUUCAUGCCCCCCGAUAUCCAGACCCCAGGGUCUUCGGUAAGAGAAGAUCCCAUUUCCCCAGACCAGAAGGAAAACAGUCUUCCUAGCUGCAUCCUUGGUCCUAGGACCCCCAGGACCCCGGAGCCGGGGCCUGUUCUGGUCAAGGACACCCCUGAGGAGAAGUAUGGGAUUAAGGUCACGUGGAGACGCAGAAGGCACCUGUUUGCCUACCUUAAGGAGAGAGGGAAGCUGGAUAAAAGCCAGUUCCUUGUGAAGACCUGACUGGACUACACAGACUUCGGUUCACCCCAGAGCUGCUGCGGGGAGGUUUCCCAAGUCACUUCUGGUUUGAGAGGAUGCAAUGGAAUGAACAUUACUAGGAAGACGACUUAGCCAGAGGCCUAGAGUUGGAAUUCGGUUUCUAGAUUUCCUUUUUAAGCCACCUUGCCUCAGAAACAGUUGAAUUUAGUAUCAUGAACUGUUGGUAUUUUUCUCAUAUUAACUUCUAAACCUCUGAAGUAUCUUGUACUGUUUACAGUGCUUGUAAAUAAAUGGCUGUCCUGAGUUUUUAGAGAACCCCACCUUUGUCAGCAAUGUGGCAGCACGCCCAUCUAUAAAAGGUCUAUCUAUGCUCA
This 1163-nucleotide small RNA is filed under the name Rattus norvegicus (Norway rat). RNAcentral describes it as "long non-coding RNA NONRATT034063". Lineage: Eukaryota; Metazoa; Chordata; Mammalia; Rodentia; Muridae. The record is from RNAcentral.